AUAGAGAAGCCGUAUCGAUCUUCUCCACUCAGCUAAUUAGGUGAUCAGCUUCACCUGUCAUAGCAGACGCUCAGGUGAGACCAGCUCCACACUCUGGUGGCAGUCGUCAGAACGGUGCCUGAUGUUUGUGUUGGAACUGACUACCACACUGACUCCGUCUGCCUGACUGUCGAGGUAACUCACUGGACGUCAGCUGGACAUCGGACAUUGGACUUCCACAGACUUAACAGAGUUAACACAAAUUGAAGAGCUAAGAAGAACAGAGAUGGCUUCUAAUUAUAGCUCCGUCAUAUCUGGCAAAGACAAGAAAAGCACUUCUGUAUCCACAAGCUGUGACUCUCAUUCCAGUCGCCAGGAACAAAUGAAACAGUUCUUCCAGGAACGUCAGAUGGAUAAUAAUGAGAGUAAACAGACGACGCCAGCAUCUUGUGUUAAAGCUCAGUCCUCCACGAAUCCGCCUCCCAACUCAUCCGGGCAGGUAAAGAAAGUGCAGAACAUGAUGACAGAACUGGAACUUAUGUGACCUUCACCUCCUUCCUUGACCUUCAACUUCCUGGAAGGCAUGACCUUCACACCCUGUGACAAAAGUCAUGUCAUUCUUUUCAAUCUGCCACUGCAGUUUAAGGACAACGUCAGUUGGUUGGCCUACUCUGACUUAAAUGGAUGAAUCCUUCCUAUUCCAGAUAUCCACAUCAACAGUCAGUGUGUAACAGCGGGGCUAAUAAAUCACUGUCAUAUG
Molecule: unclassified non-coding RNA, 739 nt
Filed under: Haliotis rufescens (red abalone)
Lineage: Eukaryota; Metazoa; Mollusca; Gastropoda; Lepetellida; Haliotidae
Description: uncharacterized LOC124138398, transcript variant X2
Source: RNAcentral